Molecule: long non-coding RNA, 215 nt
Organism: Panicum virgatum (switchgrass)
Lineage: Eukaryota; Viridiplantae; Streptophyta; Magnoliopsida; Poales; Poaceae
Exons: 2
Source: RefSeq, a predicted model, not a curated record
UCGGCGGUAAACCCGCGAAAAACCGGUGAAUUUACCGUUUUCGAGGCUAUGCAUUUGCUACAUGGAUUAUGGAUGGACAAUACUUUCGAUUACUGUGGAAGCAAUGUGUUGUAUUAAUUGGACUACGGACUUAAUUGUAAUAAUUUUAAUAGACUUUGUACUUUGGACUAAGUACGUGUGCACUUUGGACAUGAAUUAUGUGUUUCGUUUUCGUA